This 331-nucleotide ribosomal RNA is filed under the name uncultured bacterium. Its description in RNAcentral is "bacterial SSU rRNA". It matches the Rfam family "Bacterial small subunit ribosomal RNA", at positions 568 to 898 of the family's 1533-position model. The record is from RNAcentral.
CGCGUAGGCGGCCCUUCUGGUCGCGUGUGAAAGCCCCGGGCUCAACCUGGGAAUUGCGCGCGAAACGGGGGGGCUGGGGUUCGGGAGAGGAGCGUGGAAUUCCCAGUGUAGAGGUGAAAUUCGUAGAUAUUGGGAAGAACACCGGUGGCGAAGGCGGCGCUCUGGACCGAGACUGACGCUGAGGCGCGAAAGCGUGGGGAGCAAACAGGAUUAGAUACCCUGGUAGUCCACGCUGUAAACGAUGUGUGCUAGACGUUGGGGAGCCUAGCUCUUCGGUGUCGCCGCAAACGCUUUAAGCACACCGCCUGGGGAGUACGGCCGCAAGGUUAAA